RNAcentral lists this ribosomal RNA (255 nucleotides) under uncultured bacterium. RNAcentral describes it as "partial 16S ribosomal RNA". It matches the Rfam family "Bacterial small subunit ribosomal RNA", at positions 524 to 778 of the family's 1533-position model. The record is from RNAcentral.
UACGAAGGGUGCAAGCGUUAAUCGGAAUUACUGGGCGUAAAGCGCGCGUAGGUGGUUCGUUAAGUUGAAUGUGAAAGCCCCGGGCUCAACCUGGGAACUGCAUCCAAAACUGGCGAGCUAGAGUAGGGCAGAGGGUGGUGGAAUUUCCUGUGUAGCGGUGAAAUGAGUAGAGAUAGGAAGGAACACCAGUGGAGAAGGAGACAACCUGGGCUAAUACUGACACUGAGGUGCGAAAGCGUGGGGAGAAAACAGGAU